This 253-nucleotide ribosomal RNA is filed under the name uncultured prokaryote. RNAcentral's name for it is "partial 16S ribosomal RNA". It matches the Rfam family "Bacterial small subunit ribosomal RNA", at positions 524 to 776 of the family's 1533-position model. The record is from RNAcentral.
UACGUAGGGAGCGAGCGUUGUCCGGAAUUACUGGGUGUAAAGGGAGCGUAGGCGGGAUGGCAAGUCAGAUGUGAAAACUAUGGGCUCAACCCAUAGAUUGCAUUUGAAACUGCUGUUCUUGAGUGAGGUAGAGGUAAGCGGAAUUCCUGGUGUAGCGGUGAAAUGCGUAGAGAUCGGGAGGAACAUCGGUGGCGAAGGCGGCUUACUGGGCCUUUACUGACGCUGAGGCUCGAAAGCGUGGGGAGCAAACAGG